AUUUAAAUAGCUUAUAGCGUAAAGCAUAAUAUUGAAGAUAUUAGGAAAAUUAUAUUAAUUUUUAAAUA
This 68-nucleotide transfer RNA is filed under the name Solenopsis invicta (red fire ant). Its description in RNAcentral is "tRNA-Phe". Lineage: Eukaryota; Metazoa; Arthropoda; Insecta; Hymenoptera; Formicidae. The record is from RNAcentral.